Long non-coding RNA from Brachypodium distachyon (stiff brome), 926 nucleotides. RefSeq lists it as uncharacterized. Lineage: Eukaryota; Viridiplantae; Streptophyta; Magnoliopsida; Poales; Poaceae. The transcript is spliced from 3 exons. The record is from RefSeq and is a predicted model, not a curated record.
CUCCACCUCCCUCCUCCAGUCCUCCCCUCCCGAUUCGUUCGCCUCCCUUUCCGCCGUCUCUCUCUCGUAGCACCUCACGAAGAAAAACCCUAACAAUCCGCCACCACCGUUCUCUUCUGGCUUGCAGCAACUCCCGGAAGGAGAAGGAGGACAGCGAUGGUGGCUGGGUCAUGACGGAAGCUCCGACCUCCCACCCCUCCUUGAGCCUCCGUCUCGCCGCCCUCCGCUUCACCGUCGUGUUAUGAAGACGAGUGCACCCACCUUUUCCCCCUCUCAUUCCCCGUGUGGAGUGCCUCCAUACCCCCAUCGAGUACCUAUCUUCCCCUCUCCCGUGGCAUGCACCCUGUGGCAUCUUUAACCACAAUCCGCUUCUUGGUUACAAAAAUUAAUCCUGACUUGCUCUUUCGGGUCAGUUUGGAGCUGCAGUUAAAGUUUGGGUAACAAUUCAGAUCAAUGUCGAGGCAAAGAACAAAGUCAUGGGAUCAAAGCUUCAGAAACAACUACUGCUAACACACGUAGUUCUUGCCAUGGAUUUAUGCCAAUGCAUCUGAUAUGCCGGUUUAUGGAAGCAGAAACAUAUGAAUGUGAAGGUUACCUGGGUGAAGGGGAUGGAGCCUGCUCGGAGCGACUACUUGGUUGAGAAUGGCAAACAGAAAAAAAUGCAUACUCUGUUAUUUGAAUUGGCAUACCAGGAUAUUAAUUAGUACUUGAUGUUGCAUUUGCAAUAUCUCAUCCCGAAAAAGUUGCAUGUUAUGAUUUGGCCUCCAUUCAUUUGUUCCUUGUUUCGCUGGUCAUCGUACAGUCGUAUGUGACUACUUCACCUAAUGAGAUGAUCUUAUCACAAGUGCAGGAGCUAACUGUUCCUGCUACAAAUGCAUUCUUAUGACUUUGAUUACCUUUAGUUAUUUGGCGCUCUCAUUAAUAUA